Molecule: ribosomal RNA, 253 nt
Filed under: uncultured bacterium
Lineage: Bacteria
Description: partial 16S ribosomal RNA
Rfam family: Bacterial small subunit ribosomal RNA
Source: RNAcentral
UACAUGUGGGGCAAGCGUUGUUCGGAAUUACUGGGCAUAAAGGGUGCGUAGGCGGCAUGUUAAGUCAGGGGUGAAAUCCCACGGCCCAACCGUGGAACUGCCUUUGAUACUGGCGUGCUUGAGUGCGUGAGGGGUAACCGGAACGAGUCGUGUAGCGGUGAAAUGCGUAGAUAUGACUCGGAAGGCCAAAGGCGAAGGCAGGUUACUGGUACGCAACUGACGCUGAGGCACGAAAGCGUGGGGAGCAAACAGG